Molecule: unclassified non-coding RNA, 2663 nt
Filed under: Octopus sinensis (East Asian common octopus)
Lineage: Eukaryota; Metazoa; Mollusca; Cephalopoda; Octopoda; Octopodidae
Description: rUS family member 1, transcript variant X5
Source: RNAcentral
GUUGUUACUGAGUUGUUGCGACUAGGUAGCCAUGUAUACAGUUUAUUUCGGUUCUGAUGUUGAUCUGAAAAGAACGGAUAUAACGGCUUUCUGUUUGGAUUGCCUUUGCCCUAAACGCAUAUUCUUUAGUCGGAAUUUGUAGCUUUGAACAAUGGAAACCAGCCCGCUCUCUGUUCUGCACGAAGUCCCCGAGCAUCUUGAAAAAGCUGACCCAAUUCCUGCAGUCUCCGAGCAAGCAGUCGAACUCGAAAGUUCAACAUCGAAAGGAAAUUUGAAGACCAACGAAUUGAAAUUCAAAAACGACCAAGAAGAACCUGAAGCCAACAAUUCGUCGGAAAAUUCCGAGUUUACGGAUAGCUGGGAAUUAACAGAGUCUGUGAGUCCCUCGGAAGGGUCCCGGCAGCAGAGAUCUUCCGGAUCAAGUUUAUUUUCGAACUCCUCGGAAACCAGUCAAACUGGUUCUCCAGAGAUGCCCAAAAAAUACGAUAAACCCGUUCAUGUGGUGUCCAAGUGCGAGGAGAUUUUUUGUUUGAUCUGCGAAAACAAUCUGAAAAUCUGUGGUUCUUCGUAUACAAAUAUUUUUAAGGGGCAGAAAAGGGGAAGCACCACGCUUCCCGAAAGGAUAUCUUCGUUUAUCGGAGCAGCUGAAGACUUGAAGCUUUGCGAUGUGGGAAGUUCCUACAUGUGCGCACAAUGCCAGCGGAAUCUACAAAAGGCAGAAUUACUGGAGAAACAAGUCAACCAAAUUCGGGACACUUUUACCAAUUCUUUCUCCAAUUUGAGUAGGAACAGUCGCAUGAAAAAACGGCGGAUCACAUUGAACAACCAACAACAGAGUUCGGUGGAGGUGAAACAAUUACAAAUACGGAUCAAGGAGUUGGAGCAGGAACGCCAUGCGUUGCGUUUGAGGCUGGAAUCCUUAGAGGCUGAGUAUGAAAACACCGUGAAGGAACUGCAGGACGAUGUCAACCAGCUGCGACAGGACUUGCAAGGGCAGCAGCAACAGCUGACGGCAGGGGACAAGGACAAGGUGAAUAUCAUACGGGAGCUGACGCAACAGAACGAACGGCUGAGCGACCAAGUGCAACAUGCUGCUGAAAUGGAAGGACAACUUGUUUCAGAAGUGGAGGGAUUACGAUCACAAGUCUCCUUACGGAUGUCAAUGCCUGACCAACUCGAUCAGUUGGAUGCACUGCAUGCCAAGAUAAAUGAACUGACGGAGAAGAAGUGUGAAAUCGAAAGAAAGAUCCAUGUAUUAACGGAAGAAAGGGAUUCGUACGCCUGUAGCUUGGAAGAAUCUCAAGAGAGAAUUUUGAUGCUAGAGAAGCAGAAACUAGAACAAGAAUUACAUAUCCGUAACCAAGGUCGAGAAAUCUACGAACUUCAGGAGGUGAACCACCAACUCCAGGCCCAGAUCGAAAAUUUGUCUCAACGAACAUCAUACGGCAACACAGGUCCACCUAGUCAAACCCUCUUCAAUGAACUGUCGGGUCUUUCGGUCGACAGUGACAAAGAACCAGCUGUCCUAUCGGUGCAGUCGGAAGCAUUGACCAGUCUGACCCCACAAUCAAUGAUGAUGAUGAAUAUGACAUUCGAAGACGACAUUGAGUGUGAUGACGAAUGUUCCCCGAUUCCUCUGGCAAAUUCCACAAUGGCAACACAUUUUAAUCAGAUCGGAACACACCACAACCUUUCCGAGGAGUUUCUAAAUGAGAUUGUCGAAGUGUACAACCUCCUCUGUAAAUUAUGUGCUAAACUUCGGACACAGAACCAGGCCAAAGCCAUCAGCGAUGGCAGUGACGUGGAUUAUGUUGGCCCAGUCGAAGAGACUUGUAAUUCUAUCAGUGACAUCAAAUCUGGCCAGCUACGAUCGCUCCUGCGUGAACUACAACAACUCAUUCACAAUCAGAUAUACUCAGCCAAACAUAAAGAAACUUGGAACCGGUUAUCUCUGAAUGGAGAUAUUAGAAAAAUGAUAAAAUUUUUUGAUAUAAUGGAUGGGAGCAAAGCUGCUGAUGGUGAAUCGCGGGACGCAGAUGAAGUUAGAAAAGUCACGUUAAUGGCUGAACAGAUCCACGAUUUACACGUUGAACUGAACGGUGUUCGGACACACGUUUCUGGCUUGCACGCCGAUUUGCAGUUGCGGGACCAGCAGCUGCAGCAAAAAGCCACAGAAGUUUCCGAACGUAACGCUAAGAUUGAUAACCAACAAGAAGAGCUGUUCCAACUCCGUGCACAUUGUGAUAGCUUAGAAGACAAAGCCUUGGGUGAACUCUCAAAGGACGAAGUCCUAGAGCAAGCGAGACGAGACAGAAACGAGGCCAUGGAGAUGAAAAUUCAAAUGGAGAAGGAACUGUACCAAGCCAAGUCUGAAAUAAUGAGUCUAAACAACCAGCUAAUGGCCGCCAUUCAUCAGAAAGUGAUGGUUUCUCAACAGAGAGAUCAGUGGCAGGUGAGACGAUAAAUAAAUGGUGUUCCACGAUUAACUUUAACGACCCUUUCUAGCUGAGCACUAACGAAGAUAAUGAUAUGGAGGAUCUGAUAGACAUUCAGAUGCGCAAGAGACUAAUUCAAGAGAAUCGAAAUGAAUUGGCAGAAGAACGGAUCAAGGAAAGCAAAGUGAAAAGAACUUCUUCCUUCUUUUCUCGAGUGAAACACUGAAC